RNAcentral lists this non-coding RNA (166 nucleotides) under uncultured Faecalibacterium sp. The record is from RNAcentral. Lineage: Bacteria; Bacillati; Bacillota; Clostridia; Eubacteriales; Oscillospiraceae.
CCUUUGGCCGGGAGGGUAAAAGGGAAGCGGGUGAGAGUCCCGCGCGAUCUCGUCACUGUGAUAAGGGAGUCCGCUGCCUUGGCGCACGUCGCCGGUCACUGGGAGCUUUGCUUCUGGGAAGGCGGCAGCGGAUGAUGAGCUUUCAGUCAGGAAACCUGCCCGCUGU